AGGUACAAAGGUGAUUUGGCUAUGAUGUCUGUCAUCCUAUUGAUCAGUUGAUUUAGCUGAUUUGGCUGGCUGGGUGGAUGUUUCCUUCAUCCUUCACCAGUCCACAUGUGUCCUUCCCAAGGCUGCACACGUGGUGGAAGAGGCCCUUUCCCAACACAGGAAGAUCAUUCUUGAUUGAUCUAUGCAUAGCUCAAUCCCUUGUUAGAACCUCCAAACAAACUUUGAGGGUCCAUUUGAAGGAGAAUGUAGGGUGUUCAACCUGUCAGGAUUCCAGAUACAUCCAAAUGAGGUGCUACAUGUGGCAGUCUGCCUUUCUUU
This 318-nucleotide small nuclear RNA is filed under the name Peromyscus maniculatus bairdii (prairie deer mouse). RNAcentral describes it as "7SK RNA (ENSPEMG00000003775.2)". It matches the Rfam family "7SK RNA". Rfam says of the family: 7SK was discovered as an abundant small nuclear RNA in the mid-70s but a possible function has only recently been suggested. Lineage: Eukaryota; Metazoa; Chordata; Mammalia; Rodentia; Cricetidae. The record is from Rfam by way of RNAcentral.